Molecule: non-coding RNA, 209 nt
Organism: Oryza nivara
Lineage: Eukaryota; Viridiplantae; Streptophyta; Magnoliopsida; Poales; Poaceae
Source: Rfam
AAUAAGUGCAGUUUUACACUAUUUACGUCCAACGUUUGACCAUUCGUUUUAUUUGAAAUUUUUUUAUGAUUAGUAUUUUUAUUGUUAUUAGAUGAUAAAACAUGAAUAGUAUUUUUUUGUGUGACUUAUUAUUUUUAUUAUUUUUAUAAAUUUUUUAUAUAAGACGGACGGUCAAAUAUUAGACACGGAUAUCUACUGCUGCACUUAUU